Non-coding RNA from Xyrichtys novacula (pearly razorfish), 131 nucleotides. The record is from the annotation of a GenBank genome assembly. NCBI's taxonomy places the organism in Eukaryota, Metazoa, Chordata, Actinopteri, Labriformes, Labridae.
UCACACACACUCACACACACACACUUUUGCCCUGCAGCCAUCCUUCACAAUGUGUGUCAAUUAAACAUAUAUGUGCACAUGGGAAGGGGGGCACCUGUUUGGUGUGCAUGUGUGUGUGUGAGUGUGUGUGA